AUGGCAUGCCCUCCUUGCCCGCCGUCGCCGCUCGCCAGGGUGCGGCUCGACGACGUGGCGCCCCACGACGGCGCGGCCGCCCCGGGCUACGCGCGCGCCGUCGGCGCCCUCGCCGCCUCGCUCGCCCGCCGCGGCGCCGCCGUGGUCGAGCUCCCCGCCGCCGACGCGGCCGUCGUCCGCUGCGCCCUCGAGUCCGCCCGCGCCUUCUUCCGCGGCCGCCACGCCGCCUACCUCUACCGCGCCGGGAGGAAUUUAGAAGAUGGAGAGUUGUCCCCUGCUUGCAUGGCGGAUGCUUUCAGAUGUUUGGGCAAAGCAGCCCGUGCCGCCCUCUGUGCAAUAGCACGGCACCUGCGCCUACGUACCGACGUAUUCAACCAAUUACUUGAUGAUACUCCACUGCCGGUUAACGAGGUCUCCUCAUCAGAGUUGCUGGUGGCAUAUACUCAUGAGCAGCUCCAAAGUGGUCAGACACUCAUGGGAUGUCCCAGCAGGUCCUCAAUGCCUCAAGUUGAUAGGGGAUUUGUGACGCUAGUUGCUUCCGAUUAUCCAGGAAUUGAGGUUUGUGACCCAAAUGGCCAUUGGUACCUAGCUGAUGGGGUUUCAGGCCCAAAUAAUCUAUUGCUUCUGACUGGAAGGGCCCUAAGUCACGUUACUGCUGGUCUUUGCCCAAUUUCCCAGUACAGGGUCACUAAUGAAAAUAGGGCAUCACUCACCUUUAGGUUGGUCCCUCAUGCCAACGCUAUAUUGGAUUGCUCUCCAAUUUUAGCUGCUGGGCAUUGCAUACGACAGGUGUACCAACCCAUACCUGCAAGCCAAUUUAUGGAUGAUUCUUAUGCUGAAGAGCACGCUGUUUCCAGUCACUUGGAAGAACCUUCUGAAUCUCAGGGCAACUUUGUUAGUGACCCAUCACUCAGAAGUGUCCUGUCAGACCCUCUGUCUGGGGCUUUUCUUGAAGAUGCUAUGGUUCUCCAAUGUGGGCACUCAUUUGGUGGCGUCAUGCUGAAGAAAGUCAUUGAAAUGGCUAGAUGCACCAUUUGCAAUGGGGAAGUUGACCCAUCCUCCUUGUUUCCUAAUCUCGCUUUGAGAGCAGUAGCCACAGUGGUGAAGAUGGAGGAUGACAGGAGACUGUUUCAUAACGCCGCUCUUCGGAAGCGCAGGAAAGAUGUGACCGAGCAUACGGAUGUGCCGAAGCGGACUGGGAGUAGCAAAGCCAACAGUGAGUUUGCCCUGGAUGCUGAAAGCCCGGUGGCAUUCAAGGGAGUGCAGUACCCAUUUGUAGUGGGCGAGAGGGUCCUGAUCAUGGGAAACAAAAGGACGCCUGAGAAAUUCGUCGGGAAGGAGGCGGUCAUCACUUUGCAGUGUCUGAAUGGCUGGUAUCUUGUGAAGGCGCUCGACAGCGGAGAGAGCACGCGGCUGCAGUACCGGUCGCUGAAGAAAGUGCCGGAGCUGCAACUGCAGACGCAAGCGAGGCUGCAGCCCCUGGCAUUUCUCGGAGGCAGACAAUAA
RNAcentral lists this ribosomal RNA (1506 nucleotides) under Triticum aestivum (bread wheat). RNAcentral's name for it is "partial small subunit ribosomal RNA". The record is from RNAcentral. Lineage: Eukaryota; Viridiplantae; Streptophyta; Magnoliopsida; Poales; Poaceae.